This 272-nucleotide unclassified non-coding RNA is filed under the name Hevea brasiliensis (rubber tree). Lineage: Eukaryota; Viridiplantae; Streptophyta; Magnoliopsida; Malpighiales; Euphorbiaceae. The record is from RNAcentral.
AGUAAAUAAUAAAAUAAAUGAAACUCGAAAAUAAAGAAUAUAAGAAUCUGAUUUAACUAACUUUAUUCUUAAAAAGCAUUUAGCAAUACUAAGAUGGAUUGCCCCAACAGUAUCAAUCUCAAAAUCAGUUAUAGACUAUUCAUUUUGACUCAGGCUCCAUUUGGCAUUGAAUUUCAUUGUUAAAAAGCGCUUUUCGGAAAAAACAGUAUUUUGGAAUAUGAAGAUAGAGUAGUAACUAAUAAUAUAUACCUCUGGUGGGAUUCUUGUCCUUG